Molecule: long non-coding RNA, 268 nt
Filed under: Elaeis guineensis (African oil palm)
Lineage: Eukaryota; Viridiplantae; Streptophyta; Magnoliopsida; Arecales; Arecaceae
Description: long non-coding RNA (EGUI_LNC008943)
Source: RNAcentral
GUGACAAAAAAAUUUCUAGUGGCUGCUGUGGUCCCACCGAUGCAAUGCACCUCAUCUAAUAGUUAUUGGUAAUAUGCACACCGAUAUGGAGGCAACUCUUUGUCCAGAUACUUUUCUAAGUAUAUUGCAGUGACUUGAUCUCGAAGUCAUGUGGGCUCACCUAACAGUUAUUGCCCACACUCCUUAGUUAAGCCCAACCCUCCAUUCACAAGCAGGUGAAAGACCGUCAUUAGAUCCCUCACUUAAUAGUUAUUGGAUCCAACCCUAU